RNAcentral lists this ribosomal RNA (520 nucleotides) under uncultured Glomeromycotina. Its description in RNAcentral is "SSU rRNA". It matches the Rfam family "Eukaryotic small subunit ribosomal RNA", at positions 569 to 1088 of the family's 1831-position model. Lineage: Eukaryota; Fungi; Glomeromycota. The record is from RNAcentral.
AGCAGCCGCGGUAAUUCCAGCUCCAAUAGCGUAUAUUAAAGUUGUUGCAGUUAAAAAGCUCGUAGUUGAAUUUCGGGGUCUGUCCAUUGGUCGGGCUUUACGGUCCGUACUGGUGUGAUAGGUUCCUACCUUCUGAAUAACCGGCAUGCCAUUCAGUUGGUGCGUCGGGGAAGCAGAGCUAUUACCUUGAAAAAAUUAGAGUGCUUAAAGCAGGCUAUUGCUUGAAUAGAUUAGCAUGGAAUAAUAAAAUAGGACGGCAUGGUUCUAUUUUGUUGGUUUCUAGGAUCACCGUAAUGAUUAAUAGGGAUAGUUGGGGGCAUUAGCAUUCAAUUGUCAGAGGUGAAAUUCUUGGAUUUAUUGAAGACUAACUUCUGCGAAAGCAUUUGCCAAGGAUGUUUUCAUUAAUCAAGAACGAAAGUUAGGGGAUCGAAGACGAUCAGAUACCGUCGUAGUCUUAACCAUAAACUAUGCCGACUAGGGAUCGGACGAUGUUAAUUUUUUAAUGACUCGUUCGGCGCCU